RNAcentral lists this ribosomal RNA (253 nucleotides) under uncultured bacterium. RNAcentral's name for it is "partial 16S ribosomal RNA". It matches the Rfam family "Bacterial small subunit ribosomal RNA", at positions 524 to 776 of the family's 1533-position model. The record is from RNAcentral.
GACGAAGGGGGCUAGCGUUGUUCGGAAUUACUGGGCGUAAAGCGUGUGUAGGCGGUUGUCCAAGUUGGAUGUGAAAGCCUUGAGCUCAACUCAAGAAAUGCAUUCAGGACUGGAUGGCUAGAGGACCGGAGAGGAUAGUGGAAUUCCCAGUGUAGUGGUGAAAUACGUAGAGAUUGGGAAGAACACCAGUGGCGAAGGCGGCUAGCUGGACGGUUUCUGACACUAAGACACGAAAGCGUGGGGAGCAAACAGG